UGUGUAGGCGGGAACGUAAGCAUUGGGUGAAAUCCCCCGGCUUAACCGGGGAAUUGCUUGAUGUACUGCGUUUCUUGAGGCAGGUAGGGGUGCGCGGAACUCUUGGUGGAGCGGUGGAAUGCGUAGAUAUCAAGAGGAACGCCGAUGGUGAAGACAGUGCACUAGGCCUGUCCUGACGCUGAGACACGAAAGCGUGGGGAGCGAACGGGAUUAGAUACCCCGGUAGUCCACGCCGUAAACGAUGCCUACUAGGUUGUGGUGGUUCUGACGCCAGCACAGCCGAAGCCAAAGUGUUAAGUAGGCCGCCUGGGGAGUACGGUCGCAAGGCUAAA
RNAcentral lists this ribosomal RNA (332 nucleotides) under uncultured bacterium. RNAcentral's name for it is "bacterial SSU rRNA". It matches the Rfam family "Bacterial small subunit ribosomal RNA", at positions 568 to 898 of the family's 1533-position model. The record is from RNAcentral.